RNAcentral lists this ribosomal RNA (467 nucleotides) under uncultured bacterium. Its description in RNAcentral is "partial 16S ribosomal RNA". It matches the Rfam family "Bacterial small subunit ribosomal RNA", at positions 28 to 507 of the family's 1533-position model. The record is from RNAcentral.
GACGAACGCUGGCGGCGUGCUUAACACAUGCAAGUCGAACGGAAAGGCUCCAGCUUGCUGGAGUACUCGAGUGGCGAACGGGUGAGUAACACGUGGGUAAUCUGCCCUGCACUCUGGGAUAAGCCUGGGAAACUGGGUCUAAUACUGGAUAUGACCUUUCUCCUUAUGGGGUUUGGUGGAAAGUUUUUCGGUGUAGGAUGAGCCCGCGGCCUAUCAGCUUGUUGGUGGGGUGAUGGCCUACCAAGGCGACGACGGGUAGCCGGCCUGAGAGGGUGAUCGGCCACAUUGGGACUGAGAUACGGCCCAGACUCCUACGGGAAGCAGCAGUGGGGAAUAUUGCACAAUGGGCGGAAGCCUGAUGCAGCGACGCCGCGUGAGGGAUGACGGCCUUCGGGUUGUAAACCUCUUUCAGCAGGGACGAAGCGUAAGUGACGGUACCUGCAGAAGAAGCACCGGCUAACUAUGUG